AUACUCUGUUUAUGUAAAAAGACUUGUACUGUAUUUUUUUUUUUUUUUACAAUUGAUAAAAUAAUUUACUUUAAACUCAUCUAAACUAUAAGGAGAGAGAUUCGAAUACGUAACAUCAAGUGCAAAGACGAAUACUGUUAGAUUAGUAUUGUACUUGAUAGAGUUAACUACACUUACACCAAUGAUGAUAAAUAAAAUUUUCGCUUUCUAUGCGGGCCAACUAGAUUUCCUCCAUUUCCUCAAGGAAUCUCACCGCUAUAUUACUGUGAAAUUUUUUAUUUUUUAUUUUUAAUAAGGAAAGGGAUGAGUUGAUUACACCUGAUUACCCUAAGAGAUUAGUAAAAUAAUGUAUUGAUAGUAUUUUUUUAAUUCUAAAAAGAAAUCAUCAAUUAAAUUAAGAGAUUCUUCAAAUCAUACCACUCUCUCGAUCCAACAACAAAUCAUAGCGUGCAAGCCAAUGAUUAGCUUCAUAAUGUAAUGUGAGGAGUAUGAUUCUCUUCCCUUCAAAUAUUCUUCCGGUUUGAUCUUCUCUUAUUCAAAUGGUCGCAAUUUAUCUACGUUAAUAUUAUUUAAUCACAACUUAAUGAGAAGAAAUUCCCUUUAGCCGUCCUUUUCCUAUAAUAACUACUUUGAUGUGAUGCUUCAACCAUAUAAAUUCAGAGCACAUGCGACAUGUCUAUGAAGUCAAUAAAUCUAUACAGACCGCCACUCAAUAGACUUGGAAAUUGUCCCUUUGCUUUUUUGUUCUGGAAAAAAAAAUGACAUACAAAGUCAAGAAUUAAUAAUCAUUUUCAUAUUAGAAAAGGCUUUUCGUAAGGUCAUAUGCUGUAAUCUUUAAUUUGGUAAUUAUCAUCUAUACAAUGCAUCAGAUGUAGAGUUUUAUCACAAAAAGCUUCGAUAUUAGUUAGAGAUGUUAGGGUAUUUAAACUCUUCUUUUCUUAGAGAUACGGUCAAUGUAAGAUAUUAAUAUGGUCGAAUUUCAGAUCCCACGUAUAUCACAUUAAUAGAAGAUUCGUAUCCAUGACAUAUUCAUAUUAAUUUUUUUCUCAGAUCAACAUUAUGAGAAUUUUCGUUUAACUUUGAACUUGAUAGACCGAGUUCAAGGAAAUUUUAGACUUGAACAUUACACUACUAUCUAGUUGUAAUUCAAACUAUACAUAAUUAUCUUGGCAUGAGAGGCGGUGAUUAGCAUUACUCAACGAUUUACCUAAAUGAAUAUUAAGGUUAUAAAAAGCGUUAGGCGGUAGUCAGGCGAGAUAUAGCGCCCAGACAUAUAGGCGAGGCCGAGGCUUUGUUUUUUUGUUUUUUUUUAAUUUUUUUUAUGUUAAUUUUAAUUAAAUUAUUAUAUAACAUAUAAAUAAAUGUCUACUUAUACUUUAAAAAUAUAUAUACUUGUAUCGAGUUACAUAAAUAGCAAAAUAAGAUGACAUAUAAAUUACAAAGUACUAGAACAUAUUCAAUAUGGGAAACAAGUAUAUAAUGAUUGUUCAUCUAGUAUCUAACAAGUCUAUACAAUUUAUUGAAAGAAUAAAUGCAAAAUGAAAGUUAUCUUUUAUGUCUUAAGUAAGAGCGGCGGCCUAGACAGGUGCCUAGGAAAAUUUAGGCACGAUUGUUUUUUUUUUUAAACACCUAUAGAUUAAUCGUAGCGGUGGUCAGCGGCCUAGAGUCCAGACGGGGCUAAGCGGAGAUGUUUAGAACACUGAUAAAUAUAUCAUUACAGCAAUGAUCUAGACAAUACUUGAUAACCUCAAUCAAUGACAAUCACUUGUGUGUGAGAUGUUAUAAGUAUAGUACAAAAAUUAUUACCAAUUACGUUGCCAAUACUGUAGUUUGUAGUAUACUCUACUUAGUACAGUAAAAUUUCUCUAUGUGAUAGUGAUACUCUAAAUAAGAAAAAACUCUAGAUCAUAAUAAGUAUUGAUGUCACGUCUCUAAGUUUACCGAUAUAUAGUAACUCAUCAAAAUAGAAACCUUGUUGUUGAAGCUAAAAUAUUUCUAGCUUAAAGCAUGCAUAUUUACAAUCUCAACAUAAAAGUUUUACAUUAAAGAGAGUACUACAUAUAUACAUGCAGGAGACUGUCUCGUUUUUUUCAUGUCUACAUCUUAAAAAUUAACAUGCUCUACUCACAGACGGAGUUGCAUAAGGCCCAGGGGAGGCAUCCGCCCCCACUCAGGUUUUUGGGUGAGAGUAAAAAAUGUAAUAUGACAAUUAAAACUUUGAGUUUGGUUCCAAACAUUCCACGUUUCCUAACCUAAACCAAACUCAAUUGAAAUGGAGGGUUUCAUACUGUUUGGGCCCAAAAUAACAGUUUGGGCCGAGGGAGGUAUCACUUUCGGCCCGGGAAGACGUACAGCGAGAGAGUCAUGGGGGCGUUCAGCUCAUGGGCUUCUAGGCCU
This 2397-nucleotide long non-coding RNA is filed under the name Malus domestica (apple). RNAcentral's name for it is "long non-coding RNA (MDOM_LNC005586)". Lineage: Eukaryota; Viridiplantae; Streptophyta; Magnoliopsida; Rosales; Rosaceae. The record is from RNAcentral.